UUCUGGAGCACACAUAAUGGGUGGGGAUCGAAUGGCUCGACAAAAGCUGUAGCUUACAAAAGCUGUAGCUUUUGGAGCUCGGUAGAGAACAAGUGUGGAAGUGAAGAAACGAGCUAAGUCGUUUGGCUUCGUCUUAACGAUGAGGAAGGUGACGAUCGAGGCCAUCUGCGAGAUUUAUGCAAAAUUUAUGAGAGUAGAGACGGCUAGGAUAUUGAGGAUUCGAAUAGAGCCGGCAUAGAUUGAUACGAGUUAAUUUCAAGUAUUAUCGACGUUCUGAAUGCAACGGAGAAAUCUGUUUCGAAAUCAGACAUCAUUUGAGCAUCGUCGUGCGUCGUUUCGUGUGUUGGUCGCCGAUUUUGUCUAUUUUUACCUGAUUCAUCUACGAGGUGGUCCCUUUAAGGUGAAUUUGAUAUUAUGAUUGCAACAACGCAGUUUGUUUGACAAUCAGAGGUUGUUUAACCCUUCAAGUGACGAGCUGCGCCGACGCGCGUCACUUAAAUCGUUUAAUUUCCCUCUUUUCGCAUUUUUUUUGGUGAGGGGUCAAUAGUUACUGCUACUAUUAUUGUCACCCUUCCAGAGCUAUGAAAACUUCUUCCUUUCUUCUCUCAUUAACAAGAAAGUGCUUCUCCC
Molecule: long non-coding RNA, 630 nt
Organism: Dendrobium catenatum
Lineage: Eukaryota; Viridiplantae; Streptophyta; Magnoliopsida; Asparagales; Orchidaceae
Exons: 2
Source: RefSeq, a predicted model, not a curated record